GAGAGCAGAGAGAGGGGGAGACAGAGAGAGAGAGGAUGGUAGAGAGAGGGGGCAGAGAGAGAAGAGAGCAGAGAGAGAGAGAGAUACUUAGAGAGAGAGAGAGCUACAGAGAGAGAGAGAGAUACAGAGAGAUACAGAGAGAGAGAGAGAGAGAGAGAGAGAAGGAGAACUCUUCUACCUGUUGAAACCAUUGGCCCUUCUGCCUCUGGCUCCCCUCCACCACCUUUUAUUUAUGGUUGGAGGCUUGGUGUCUUUAACAGUCUGGCUCUAUGUGUUAAUAGACAGAGAGACUGAAGUCUAAUACACAAGCCAGAGCCUAAAGCAUCUCAGCCUCACCACAGA
Oncorhynchus tshawytscha (Chinook salmon) is the source of this 342-nucleotide long non-coding RNA. The record is from Ensembl. NCBI's taxonomy places the organism in Eukaryota, Metazoa, Chordata, Actinopteri, Salmoniformes, Salmonidae.